Molecule: small nuclear RNA, 104 nt
Organism: Salvia splendens (bonfire salvia)
Lineage: Eukaryota; Viridiplantae; Streptophyta; Magnoliopsida; Lamiales; Lamiaceae
Source: RefSeq, a predicted model, not a curated record
GCCCCGCUUCGGAGACCUCUGAUAAAAUUGGAGCGAUACUGAGAAGAUUAGCAUGACCCUUGCGCAAGGAUGACAUUGACACGCAUAAAUCGAGAAACGAAUAA